GAUUUGCUAACUUUAUAAUAAAAGGGGCAAUUGCUUAUAUACUCGGAAAAAUUUCCGACUUUCUAAUUUAACGCUCUUAUAAGGUCAAUAUUGAAAAUACCUUUUUUAUAUUUCAACUUAUUUUAAAUAUACGUCAAGAGUUAAAUUCUAUUAAUGAACGAUUAGCAAUAACUAUUAUCUCUAUGAAAUUACUAUUUUGUCAUUCAAAUAUACCUUUCUAUCAUCACUGCUUUUUCUUAUUUGCCAUUAAAUUAGGGGCACAAAAAAUAUUUUAAUUUUUGGUCUUUUCAAAUAUACAUUUGUACCAUCACUAAUAUUUCUUAUUUGCUCUUAACUUAAGGGCAAAGUAGAAAUUUGAUUUUUUUUAAACUCUAGUUGAUAUUUAACUCACAUUUAACCCAAUUAACUUAAUGAGUGGUAAGUGCAAGGAAAUUUUAGAAUAACAGUGGAACAUAGGAACAUAGGAAGGGUAUAUUGGAAAAAAAAAAGAGUAGAGAUAAAUGUGAUAUUUUCAAAGUUUUCAGAAGUAUAUAUGUAAUUAUCUCAAUAAAAAACUAUA
RNAcentral lists this long non-coding RNA (559 nucleotides) under Ananas comosus (pineapple). RNAcentral describes it as "long non-coding RNA (ACOM_LNC010768)". Lineage: Eukaryota; Viridiplantae; Streptophyta; Magnoliopsida; Poales; Bromeliaceae. The record is from RNAcentral.